Molecule: long non-coding RNA, 633 nt
Organism: Mus musculus (house mouse)
Lineage: Eukaryota; Metazoa; Chordata; Mammalia; Rodentia; Muridae
Product: predicted gene, 31579
Exons: 3
Source: RefSeq, marked validated
GCAUCAAGGUGUUCCUGCAAUAAAGCUGUUGAGAAGAAUCCGACCAUGUUGCGGUUUUCCUUGCUGGACAAGGUCUCCCACUUUGCAAAGAUUUGUCUGUGAAGUGAUGCCCAGAAAAGAUUUGAGCAGCCGUGCCAAUUAGCAAUGACCUUCAGCCCUGGGAGCACAGAGGAAUCGCGCUCUGGCUGUUCUGCAGGGGGUCUUCAUGGAUCUCGGUGGAAUUUUUCUCAAGCUUCUAUGAUCAACUAGUGUGCUGGCUGGCAGGAUCCCUGGCCUAGAGCGCUGCCAUGGGAAGCUCUCUCCUACUUGGCCCCUCAUCUUGCUUCAAGCCAGCCCCUGAGGUAGCACAUCAAGAGAAAGAGAAGCCAAAACCUGGGCUUGAAUCCACAGCUAGCACUCAUCCAACAUCCUGCUGACCAAGCGAACCAUGUGGUCAGGUCAGGAGAUGGCGAAGCAGAAUUCACUUCUGAUGUCACAGAGUGCCAGAGACGAGGACAUAGAUACAAAAUGGAUGAAGAGUUAGGGAUACUGAUGAAGUCUGUCAGCCAUGGCGUGAGAAGACAGUGGGAGAACUAACCCGGGAAGAAGAUGACCAGGCUCACAGUGAAGAAGACAGAACUUGCUCCCUGAUCC